AACGAACGCUGGCGGCAUGCCUAACACAUGCAAGUCGAACGAGACCUUCGGGUCUAGUGGCGCACGGGUGCGUAACGCGUGGGAACCUGCCCUUAGGUUCGGAAUAACUCCCCGAAAGGGGUGCUAAUACCGGAUAAUGUCUUCGGACCAAAGAUUUAUCGCCUUUGGAUGGGCCCGCGUUGGAUUAGCUAGUUGGUAGGGUAAAAGCCUACCAAGGCGACGAUCCAUAGCUGGUCUGAGAGGAUGAUCAGCCACACUGGGACUGAGACACGGCCCAGACUCCUACGGGAGGCAGCAGUGGGGAAUAUUGGACAAUGGGCGAAAGCCUGAUCCAGCAGCGCCGCGUGAGUGAUGAAGGCCUUAGGGUUGUAAAGCUCUUUUACCCGGGAUGAUAAUGACAGUACCGGGAGAAUAAGCUCCGGCUAACUCCGUG
Molecule: ribosomal RNA, 433 nt
Filed under: uncultured bacterium
Lineage: Bacteria
Description: partial 16S ribosomal RNA
Rfam family: Bacterial small subunit ribosomal RNA
Source: RNAcentral